Molecule: long non-coding RNA, 241 nt
Organism: Xenia sp. Carnegie-2017
Lineage: Eukaryota; Metazoa; Cnidaria; Anthozoa; Malacalcyonacea; Xeniidae
Exons: 2
Source: RefSeq, a predicted model, not a curated record
GAUAAACUUCAAAAAUACUUAUCUUCCAUCUAGCAAUCCAGUAUCAGACUCUCUUAAAUUAUUUGCUGAAAAUGAAAUGAUGCUUACCGUAUCAUGGCAAUGAUAGCGAGACGAAACUUGGCGUAUGUUAUUUCCUUUGGGAAAUUCAAAUUACCCGAAGACACUUGCCUUUGUACAUAUGCAACAUAAUAUUUGUACAUAGGUAAACUGAACAAGAAUAAAAAAGAAAAAACAUUCAAAA